UUCCGUAGGGUGAACCUGCGGAGGGAUCAUUACCGAGUUUUCAACUCAUCAACCCCUGUGAACUUUUUACCCAACGUUGCUUCGGCGGGAACAGAUGGCCCUGUGAAAACGGGGCCACCCCCGCCAGAGGACCCCCUAACUCUGUUUUUUUUUUAUGUUUUUCUGAGUAAAACAAGCAAAUAUCAAAACUUUCAACAACGGAUCUCUUGGCUCUGGCAUCGAUGAAGAACGCAGCGAAAUGCGAUAAGUAAUGUGAAUUGCAGAAUUCAGUGAAUCAUCGAAUCUUUGAACGCACAUUGCGCCCGCCAGUAUUCUGGCGGGCAUGCCUGUUCGAGCGUCAUUACAACCCUCAGGCCCCCGGGCCUGGCGUUGGGGAUCGGCGGAGGCCCUCUGUGGCACACGCCGUCCCCCAAAUACAGUGGCGGUCCCGCCGCAGCUUCCAAUGCGUAGUACCUAACGACGCAACUGGAGAGCGGCGCGGCCACGCCGUAAAACACCCCCAACUUUAUGAACGUUGACCUCGAAUCAGGUAGGAAUACCCGCUGAACUUAAGCAUAUCAAUAAGCGGAGGAA
This 573-nucleotide ribosomal RNA is filed under the name Fusarium riograndense. Its description in RNAcentral is "eukaryotic LSU rRNA". The stretch from base 187 to 340 matches the Rfam family "5.8S ribosomal RNA". The record is from RNAcentral. Lineage: Eukaryota; Fungi; Ascomycota; Sordariomycetes; Hypocreales; Nectriaceae.